This 75-nucleotide transfer RNA is filed under the name bacterium. Its description in RNAcentral is "tRNA-Ala". It matches the Rfam family "tRNA". From Rfam's summary of the family: Transfer RNA (tRNA) molecules are approximately 80 nucleotides in length. Their secondary structure includes four short double-helical elements and three loops (D, anti-codon, and T loops). Further hydrogen bonds mediate the characteristic L-shaped molecular structure. tRNAs have two regions of fundamental functional importance: the anti-codon, which is responsible for specific mRNA codon recognition, and the 3' end, to which the tRNAs corresponding amino acid is attached (by aminoacyl-tRNA synthetases). tRNAs cope with the degeneracy of the genetic code in two manners: having more than one tRNA (with a specific anti-codon) for a particular amino acid; and 'wobble' base-pairing, i.e. permitting non-standard base-pairing at the 3rd anti-codon position. The record is from RNAcentral. RNAcentral also lists the same sequence under 2 other names.
GGGCCUGUAGCUCAGUGGGAGAGCGCUUGACUCGCAUUCAAGAGGUCGAGGGUUCGACUCCCUUCAGGUCCACCA